This is a long non-coding RNA of Callithrix jacchus (white-tufted-ear marmoset), 1426 nucleotides long. RefSeq lists it as uncharacterized. NCBI's taxonomy places the organism in Eukaryota, Metazoa, Chordata, Mammalia, Primates, Cebidae. The record is from RefSeq and is a predicted model, not a curated record.
ACGAAUUCCACCUGUCACGCAGGGCUGCUGUGUGGGUGACACAAGCGCCUAUGUCGCGCGGCCCUGCUCCAGGCAAGCGCUCUGCAAACCCCGGCUGCCAUGAGCGCGACUGGCGCGGCCCGAGGGCCUAACGUCGAGAAGGGCCGGCGCCGGGAUUCGAACCCCAAGGGUAGGCCGCCGUCUCUUGGGACCCCCACUUUCGCCCAGACCCCGGCCCAGCCGGCCGAAGGCGACCACCCCCGUGCGCCCCGCCGCCCGCCCGCACCCGACAGCGCCGCCGCGGUGCGCCCUGGGACCAGCCGCCGCCCUGUUCCGGGCCUCGCUCCCUGACUGAAGAGGGAGGGGCCGCGCCGCCGCUCAGCGACCCAGCCUCCCCGCCGCUGAACCCGCCGGAAACCUCGGUCCGCACGGUGCUUCUCGGCCUGCGGCUCCACGGGCCCCGAGUCCACGGCGCGGCGUCCCCCUCGCGCGGCCUACGCAGCCUCGGGGUGGCGUGAGGCCUCCGCCCGGCCGGUACGCCUAGCUGGCAGCCGCAACUUCCCGUCUGCGCCCGGCUCCGUCCCGCGGCGGCCCGAGAGGCAAGCUUGAGACUCCCAGCGCGACCAAUAGGAGGGCAGCCAAUGGAGCGGUCCGCCCGCAGGGGGAGAAGGGGGACUUCCGGGCGGGCCCUCCCCGCAGAACGCUGGGAACCAAAGGCCAAUCUCCCCUUCUCAAGGAGCAGGUGCUCCCAAUCUCUUGGCGCCCGGGGGUCUGUGAACGGCAGUGAAGUGCACGCGGAAUAAGGUCUACGUGAUUAGCCACAACCUGGGGCUUGGGGUCUAGAGGCCCAGCUGUACGGGUGAAAAUUCAGGCCUCCUCGAAAGUCUGCCACUACCGUCCAGCGUGGAUGCCAGAGAAGAGAAGAAAGACUCUAGGAAGAAGUGUGAAGCAUGGUGGCUGAUGCCUGUACUCCCAGCACUUUGGGGGGCCAAGGCAGGAAAAUAGCUUGCGGCAGGAGUUCAAGAUGAACCUGGGCAACUUAGCAGACCCCCAUCUCUAAAAUGAAGAAGUUCUUCUUUUAAUUGUAUGAGUGUGGUGGUACCUAUCUGUAAUUCCAGCUACUCAGGAGGCUGAGAUGGGAGGAUCGCUUGAGCCCAGCAGUUCUACUCUAGCUUGGACAAUAUAGCAAGACCCUCAUCUCUUAAAAAAUGAAAAAUAAAACUUUAAAAAGAAAAAAAGAGAAUGUGUCCUCAUGACCUAUGUGUGAAAUCCAGGAUGAUAGGCAUAGACUGUUUUCAAAACAUGCUUCAUAUUUUGGGGGGGAAUAAUUGGUUCCAUCAACUCCACAUAGUCUAAGAACAGGCCAAAAGGAAAUUAAAAUGCAAAUAAUUUUUUGAUGAUUGGGAAGCUUCCUGAUGGGAAGAAACUGUACCCUGUCAUGUGUCUA